Molecule: long non-coding RNA, 2950 nt
Organism: Neoarius graeffei (lesser salmon catfish)
Lineage: Eukaryota; Metazoa; Chordata; Actinopteri; Siluriformes; Ariidae
Exons: 3
Source: RefSeq, a predicted model, not a curated record
ACCGACAACAAUAACAAGACCGCGAAAGAUCGCCAUUUUUAAGCAAUGAGAAGCAGCAGCUGUACAAACGCGAAGUCAGCCAUUAUUAUUGUUGUUGUUGCUGCUGCUGCUUCUUCCGUGUUGCUUUUGCUUCGAUAUUCACGCCAAGGUUUAUGCAAACGUAGCGACGUAACUGACGUAUACAGCGACGUAACUGACGUAUACAGCGACGUAACUGACGUGGCUUCCCUCAGCACCGCGAGCUAUGGAAAAGCAAACUGGUUCUCAGCUGGCUCGCAAGUUGAACGAGUUGUGAACCAGCACCGGCCCCGAACCAGCCCUGGAACUGAUUUGGUGGAAAAGGAGUAUGAGUGGAGAUAUUCAGAUGAGGAGGCGGGAUCAUUCUCAUCUAAUAAGCUCCGCCUGUGACGUAGAAAGAGGAGCCGAAUCUGAACGGCUUGUUGAAGCUCUUGUUUUCUAUAAUAGGCAGCGCAAAAAACUGGCUGGGUGUUUUAUUUCAGAGUUUGUGUGUUGGUUGGCUCAAGAUACCUAAAUGUAUGAGUACAAGCACUGAAAAAGUGAGGUGGGUUUUUUUUUUAAAUUAACAUUGCCUUCAGUCUGAAAUUUUCCGUCUGAGUGAAAUCAAAACUGGUGUUUCAGGGAUUUUGGUUCCUGUUUGUUAAAGUUAUGGACACGGAUACAAAACUAUAUUAGAGGGGAAAAAAACAACAUUCUGGAGUUAUUUUCCUUUAUGACUGUCCAAUUAAAUGCUGUCUACGAUCCUAUAGAUAGUUUUCACAUGACGUCACAGAGUCGGGGAUUCCCUGGUGGCGGCCAUCUUGGAGGGCUAGCUUACCGUACGGGUCACUGAGCACACAUUGUAGCGCGCGAGUUACAUUCAUUUAUAUAUUAUUUACAUUUAUAGUUACAUUACCACUAUUUAAAGCUAGCAAUGGUGCACACUUGUUGUAUUCACGGCUGUCGUAAUAGGUCAAAUGAUGAAGUCAAGCAGAGCUUUUAUGUAAUUCCCACUGUACGGGAGCACGAAGGCGAGCAGACAAAGAAACUCAGCAUACAAAGGAGGAAUCAAUGGCUUGCGAGAAUCAACCGCAAGGAUUUUCAGCCUUCCAAAUACAGCAGAGUCUGCUCCGAUCAUUUUAUAAGUGACGGAUGUUGUCCUCAGGCCGCAGCAGAGUGAACAUGGUCUGCAGGUGCUGCUGAAGAUCUCCUAAACAUGUCCUGGGAUGUCGUGCGAGUCUGAUUUCUGAUACCUGCAUGCUUGCUACGCUGUCCUGUGAUCCGUGAGGAGCAGAUGGAUGAGGAGGAGGAGCCAUUUCCCCUUGGGAGGAAGAGCGCGGCGCCUUUCACUGUUAGAAAGCUCUCGCUAAUGCUGAGGGGAAAUUAGCGAGACGGAAAACAAUGAAUCAUUCAUUCAUUCAUCUUUUUUUAUCCUGAUCAGGCCUAUACUUGGAACAUUGUGUGCAAGGCCAGAAUACACCCUUGAGGAGAUGCCAGUCUGUUAUCAUACACACAAAACACACGCACACACUUAGCAGCAAUUCAGAGUAGCUAAUAUAUCUACCAACAUGGUUCUGGGAGCUGAGAGGAAACCGUAUUGGUACAGAAAACCCACACAGAAAUGCAGAGAACAUGUAAAACUCCACACACACACACAGUAAUCCAAACUCAGGAUCAGUAGGACCAGUCUACUUUAAAUUAGAUUCACUUUAUUGAUCCCACAUCGGGGAAAUUCACGUGUUACAGUAGCAAGAAAAUGUCAUACAGAUAAAUAAAAACUGAAAUAAAAAUUAGACAAACGAAAGAUUAAAUACAGAGGGCUAUUUGCAUUAUCUACCUUGAAAAGUAUAGAAAUAUUGCCUUAUUGAGAGGCUCGGGAAAAAAAUAAUAAAUUGCACAUUACUACAGGUAGACUGUGUGUAAUAUAUAUUAUAUUGAGGUAUUUCACCUGACGUCACAGGGUCACGUGACGCCCCGGUGUCCGCCAUUUUGAACGUCAAGCUACAUACUAACGCUGCAGACAGAGAGGGAAAGCCAGCUUGAAAAAAAAACGUGUUACAGACACCUAGAAUAGAUUAAUUUGUCAGUAAGCACUCUAUAAAUAACCAUGGUGUUUGCUUGUUGUGUUGUGGGCUGCCACAACAGACAGGGACAGCAUGCAGGACGCUCCUUUUACCGGUUUCUAGUGAUGGGAAUUUCGGCUCUUUUUCGGGAGCCGGCUCUUUUGGCUCUUCUUACUAUAAGGAGCCGGCUCUUUCGGCUCCCAAACGGCUCCUGAGAUUUUAUUUUUGAUUUAAUUGCUGCAAUUAACUAGUUAAUUAAUUACAUUAUUAUUUAUAUUUUAUCAAUAGGAUGUUUUCCAUUUUAUUUUUUAGUUUUUGUAGCCAUUGUAAAGCUUUGUAAAGUAUAGCAGUGUAACAAUGGUCUAGCUAUAGAAAUAAAACUUACUUACCAAUUAAUAAAUUAUUUUCUCACAAACAUAAUGCAAAACUGUGUUAUAUUACCAAUAUAAAAUACACAGCUGAUUUUCCCCUCCUCAGGUGCCUCACAGACUCCUCUCCCCUGCGCUCCACAGCUUUAAGCAUUACACCAAUUUUCGUAUUUUCGCAGCUGUGAAUGACAUCAACCCCCCCAACCAAAAAAAGCAGGCGUACACCAUGCUACUUUUUUUCCUUUGAAUGGUAAUAGACAACACAAAGACGCAAUCGGACAGCAACUUUUUUUGUGAAAGUCUCUCUCUCUCUCUCUCUGAGGCACCUAAGGACAAAAAACUAAUUCGGCUCCCACCGAAGAGCCGGCUCCCGUCGUUCACUUCAAAGAGCCGGCUCUUUGAACCGGAUCGUUCGCGACCGACACAUCACUACCGGUUUCCUACUGACCCAGACAAGAGGGCCAAAUGGAUUGCAGCUGUGAAGAGACAGGAUUGGGAGCCAACAGAGUACUCCAGACUUUG